RNAcentral lists this ribosomal RNA (497 nucleotides) under uncultured bacterium. RNAcentral's name for it is "partial 16S ribosomal RNA". It matches the Rfam family "Bacterial small subunit ribosomal RNA", at positions 28 to 507 of the family's 1533-position model. The record is from RNAcentral.
GAUGAACGCUGGCGGCGUGCCUAAUACAUGCAAGUCGAGCGAACGGACGAGAAGCUUGCUUCUCUGAUGUUAGCGGCGGACGGGUGAGUAACACGUGGAUAACCUACCUAUAAGACUGGGAUAACUUCGGGAAACCGGAGCUAAUACCGGAUAAUAUUUUGAACCGCAUGGUUCAAAAGUGAAAGACGGUCUUGCUGUUACUUAUAGAUGGAUCCGCGCUGCAUUAGCUAGUUGGUAAGGUAACGGCCUACCAAGGCAACGAUGCAUAGCCGACCUGAGAGGGUGAUCGGCCACACUGGAACUGAGACAGGGUCCAGACUCCUACGGGAGGCGGCAGUGGGGAAUCUUCCGCAAUGGGCGAAAGCCUGACGGGGCAACGCCGCGUGAGUGAUGAAGGUCUUCGGAUCGUAAAACUCUGUUAUUAGGGAAAAACAUAUGUGUAAGUAACUGUGCACAUCUUGACGGUACCUAAUCAGAAAGCCACGGCUAACUACGUG